CCACGUGUGGGAAGAAGCAUUUCGGUGUGUAAACCACUGUCGUGAGGGAAUAAGGCAGUGUUUCGGCGAGGUUGAAUGUACCUCGAGAGGAAGCACCGGCAAACUUCGUGCCAGCAGCCGCGGUAAUACGAGGGGUGCAAGCGUUGUUCGGAAUCACUGGGCGUAAAGGGAGCGCAGGCGGAAGCUCAAGCGGAUUGUACAAUACCGGGGCCCAACCCCGGACCUGCAGUCCGAACUGCCUCUCUUGGAUAGUUCAGGGGCAAGCGGAAUUCC
RNAcentral lists this ribosomal RNA (273 nucleotides) under uncultured rumen bacterium. Its description in RNAcentral is "partial 16S ribosomal RNA". It matches the Rfam family "Bacterial small subunit ribosomal RNA", at positions 397 to 670 of the family's 1533-position model. The record is from RNAcentral.